GUCUACGGCCAUGCUACCCUGAACGAGCCCAAUCCUGUCUGAUCUCGGAAGCUAAGCAGGGGCGAGCCUGGUUAGUACUUGGAUGGGAGACCACCUAGGAAGACCAGGUGCUAUAGGCG
This 119-nucleotide ribosomal RNA is filed under the name Pteropus alecto (black flying fox). The record is from RNAcentral. Lineage: Eukaryota; Metazoa; Chordata; Mammalia; Chiroptera; Pteropodidae.